This is an RNA transcript of Grus americana (Whooping crane), 3979 nucleotides long. It is a transcript of the gene named coiled-coil alpha-helical rod protein 1-like, with no coding region annotated. Lineage: Eukaryota; Metazoa; Chordata; Aves; Gruiformes; Gruidae. The transcript is spliced from 18 exons. The record is from RefSeq and is a predicted model, not a curated record.
ACCCCCGCGCAUGCGUAGUGUAGUUUUGCAAGGCCAGCGUUAUGUAAAUGCAGUAGCUAGGCGGAGAGGCGGAGAUUUCCCGGAAAAUGUAUGAAUAUUCAUGUCUUAAGGUACAUAAAAGAUGAACUUUUGUUUUAGGGUAUGCACGACAGGCGGAGCUAUCCCCCGUGCAUCCAGCGCCGUAAUAAAGAACGCCUGCUUUCUAAUACUAGAAAUGGAGUAUUGGAGAGUUUAUUAUCCCAUAUUUGUUGACAGUUUCUGGUGACCCAGGUGGGACACUGCUUCUGAACCUGGAUGGAUCCGCGGGAUCAUAGGACCUCCAACCGGCACCGAGGGAUUUUCGGGGACAACCUCUGAUCCCCGGACUGAAGAGCUCUGAGCAAGACCCCUGGGAAGGUUUCACCUGGCUCCGGGAGUCCUCGACCAACAUUUGGGAUCCUGGAAGAGACCGGCGGGAUACUUUUCCAAACAGCUGGAUGACGUGAGUAAAGGCUGGCCGUCCUGCCUCCGGGCUGUAGCGGCGACGGUAUUGGUGAUUCAAGAGGCCCGGAAGUUCGCUAUGGGGUAACGGAUGACCAUGUCCAUGCCCUGUAUGCUGACAGCAGUACUGGAGCAAAAGGAAAUCACUGGUUAUCACCGAGCAGAAGGAUGAAAUAUCAAGCCAUCUUAUUGGAGAUGGAUGAUGGGAACCUAAAGGUUGCAGGGAAUCCAUUAUACUCGAGUAAAACCAGCAUCAGACCCAAAAGAACCUCAGUGGAAGGUCACCUCGUCAGAUCAAGAUCCUCUCCGAAUAAAAUUCAAAAAUCAACAUGAAAAUCAGCCAGACAUACAUAGAUGACGAGUUUGAGACCCAACGGAAAGGAAUCAAUUCGAUCGAGAGGGCAGCGGACGAGUGGGAAAAACGAAAGGAGUCUUCCCACUCGUGGUGGAAUUGGUUAAUCUCACGGCUCCCAAACCUAACGUGGCUGAAGAAAUUAUUUGUGCCACCAAUGGCCGAGAGUCACCCAGAGGCACCGGGCACUGGUCUGCGGGGCCUUGUCCCCCCAUCGCACUUCGUGCUCCGUCCCCCCGGCCCCAGCACCAGGACCCUGGAGGCGGAGCUUGAGGCUGAGAAGAGGCGGGGCCAGGCCUUGGAGGCGGAGCUUGAGGCUGAGAAGAGGCGGGGCCAGGCCUUGGAGGCGGAGCUUGAGGCUGAGAGGAGGCGGGGCCAGGCCUUGGAGGCGGAGCUUGAGGCUGAGAGGAGGCGGGGCCAGGCCUUGGAGGCGGAGCUUGAGGCUGAGAGGAGGCGGGGCCAGGCCUUGGAGGCAGAGCUUGAGGCUGAGAAGAGGCGGGGCCAGGCCUUGGAGGCGGAGCUUGAGGCUGAGAGGAGGCGGGGCCAAGCCCAGGGGGCGGAGCCUGAUGGGGAGCAGCCCCUGGAGGAGUGCCAGGCUCAGGUGCUGCUCCAGGCCCGGCUCAGCGCUCUUGGCCACAUCCUGACCCUGCAGGAGCAUGAGCUGAGCCGUGAGCUUCCUCCCACUGGAGUGCCCAUGGCGGUGACCCCCCCCCGGCUGCAGGCACUCCUGGGGCGCUGGCGGCAGAAGGUCUUCGCCCUCCUGGUGCAGCUGCGGGUGCAGGAGGAAGCGCAGCGGGUGCUGCGGGCACAGGUGGGGGCACUGGGGGCGGCAGUGGCAGCGGGGACACGCCGGGUGACGCGGCUGGAGCUGAGCCUGCGCGAGAGAGCGGCCACCGCCGAGCUGCAGCGUCGGGACACCAAGCGCCUGGCGCAGGAGGUGACACGGCAGCGGGGACGGGCAGAGGCGGCUGAGGAGGCACUGGGGGGAUUGGCCCGGGCGGCCGCAAGGCUGGCCGGGGUGGUGACAACACGCGAGGCCGAGGUGACAGCAGCCACCAGGACCAUGGUCACCCUCAGCGCCCGUCUGCGCCGGGCAGGACGGCAGCUCCGCGUCCUCCAGGCGGGUGGCCCUGGACUCACCCUGUCCCCAGGGCUGGUGACCCUGGUGUCACCCUGUUCCCUGUCCCCAGGGCUGGUAGCCCCCCCGGCGGUGGCCUCGGACUGUCCACGGUGGCAGCAGGACCUGGCGGGGGAUGACUCGGUGGCCAAGGUGACAGGCAGCACCCAUCUGCUCACAGGGACGGUGGCCAGGGUCCGGCACAGCGCGGUGGCCCCGGGGGUGGCUGAGGAGGUGACACACGGCCAGGUGAUAAAGGACAAGGUGGUGCGGGACAAGAUGGCACGGGACGAGGCCACCCCCCGUGGAGACAGGACGGGUCCCCCCCUGGGCAGAGUUUCCCCUCCGAGCCCCCAAUGUCCCCCCCCGUGUCCCUCCAGCAGCUCUGGGCUCCCUCGUGACGCAACUGCAGGCGCUGGGCGCCGCCAUCCUCGGGGACGAUGGUGACAUCGGUGACCCCCCUUGACCCCCCCCCCAACCCUGCUGCGGACCCAGGCAUUGGGUUCCUGCGCGGGUAGCGGAAAGAAGGCAGCAGAAGCAGACGUGAGCUAAAAUCCCUUUUAUUGUCAGAAAUAAGGUGCCUCUCGGCCGGGAGCCCGCGAAGGAUCCUGUGUUACACUCUUGAUUCCUUUUAUACAAUUUUAAGACCACUCACGUGCUCAUUUUUUCACGCCAUCGCUUGUUACUGUUCACUUCGGAGUAUUUGUUCACGCAAACGCUCUGCGCAAGCGAGCUUAAUGCAUAUUUCUUAGCUGAAUUUGCACUAUUUUUGUGGCAACUUUGCUGCUUUCAGCCCGUUUUGGUCUGGUCUCUUCCAACAAGAUCCUCUUGUAGAGGCGAGGUUGGUCAAGCUCAUCCUUGGAGCUUCAUGAAAGACAGGUCCUGCUUGACCAACCUGAUCUUCUACGACAAGGUGGAUGAGGGAAAGGCUAUGGAUGUUCUCCCUGGACUUCAGUAAAGCCUUUGGUGCCGUUUCCCACAGCGUUCUACUGGAGAAACUGGCUGCUCGUGGCUUGGGUGGGUAAAAAAAACUGGUUGAAUGGCUGGGCGCAAAGAGUUGUGGUGAUUGGAGUUACACCCAGUUGGCGGUCGGUCACAAGCGGUGUUCUCCGUGGCUCAGUCCUGGGGCCGGUUCUCUUUAAUAUCUUAAUGAUCUGGAUGAGGCGAUCGAGUGCACCCUCAGUAAGUUUGACGACAACACCAAGUUGAGUGGAAGUGUUGAUCUGCUGGAGGGUAGGAAGGCUCUACAGAGGGAUCUGGACCGAUGGGCCGAGGCCAACUGGAUGAGGUUCAACAAGGCUCAGUGCCGGGUCCUGUCCUUGGGCCACACCAACCCCAGGCAACGCUACAGGCGUGGGGAAGAGCGGCUGGAGAGCUGCCCGGUGGAAAAGGACCUGGAGGUGUUUGUCAACAGCCGGCUGAACGUGAGCCAGCAGCGUGCCAAGGUGGCCAACGUUGAGGUGCUGGAGCGUGUCCCAAGACCGGCAACCGAGUGGUGAAGGGUUCAGAGCACGAGUCUGAUGAGGAGCAGCUGAGGGAACUGGGGUGGUUGAGUCUGGAGAAGAGGAGGCUGAGGGGAGACCUGAUCGCUCUACAACUCCCUGAAAGGAGGGUGUAGCCAGGUGGGGGGUCGGUCUCUUCUCCCAAGGAACAAGCGAUAGGAAGAGAAGAAAAGUCCUCCAGUUGUGCCGGGGGAGGUUUAGAUUGGAUAUUAGGAAAAAAUUCUUCACUGAAAGGGUUGUCAGUCCCUGGGCCAGGCUGCCCAGGGCAGCGGUGGAGUCCCCAUCCCUGGAGGGAUUUAAAAGACGUGGAGAUGUGGUGCUUGGGGACGUGGGUGAGUGGUUGGGCUUGGGAGUGUUGGGUUAACGGUUGGACUUGGUGAUCUGAAAGGCCUUUUCCAACCUAAAUGAUUCUAUGAAUUCCCCCCUUUUUGUGCAAACUUUAAAUUGGAGCAGAAUAGUAUUUAUAUCCAUCAAUUUGAGCAAGACAGGCUGAGUAUAUUUGAGUGAACCAGCAGAAUGCGAUCCCUA